Molecule: ribosomal RNA, 433 nt
Filed under: uncultured bacterium
Lineage: Bacteria
Description: partial 16S ribosomal RNA
Rfam family: Bacterial small subunit ribosomal RNA
Source: RNAcentral
AGCGAACGCUGGCGGCAGGCCUAACACAUGCAAGUCGAACGAACUCUUCGUAGUUAGUGGCGGACGGGUGAGUAACACGUUGGAACGUUCCUUUUGGUUCGGAAUAACUCAGGGAAACUUGUGCUAAUACCGAUUGUGCCCUUCUGGGGCAAGAUUUAUCGCCAUUAGAGCGGCCCGCGUCUGAUUAGAUCGUUGGUUAUGUAACGGCUCACCAAGGCGACGAUCAGUAGCUGGUCUGAGAGGAUGACCAGCCACACUGGGACUGAGACACGGACCAGACUACGACGGGAGGGAGGAGAGGGGAAUAGAGCGAAAGGGGGGAAAGGAAGAAGGAGCCAGGCCGGGAGAAUGAUGAAGGGAGUAGGAAAGUAAAAUUCUUUAACAGGGGACGAUAAUGACGGUACCAGGAGAAGAAGCCCCGGCUAACUACGUG